AGACUCCGCUUGAUCCUGGCGGACCCAACUGCUAUCGGGAUGAGACUAAGCCAUGCGAGUCGCACGCUUCCUAGCCACGGUGGGAGCGUGGCGUACGGCUCAGUAACAUGUGGCUAACCUACCCUCAGGACUGGGACAACUUCGGGAAACUGAGGCUAAUCCCGGAUGGACGGAGAGGCCUGGAAUGGUUCUCCGUUGAAAAGGCUCUAGAGGCAUGCUCUCUAGAGUUGCCUGAGGAUGGGGCCGCAGCCGAUCAGGUUGUUGGUGAGGUAACGGCUCACCAAGCCUAUAACCGGUACGGGCCGUGAGAGCGGGAGCCCGGAGAUGGGCACUGAGAUAAGGGCCCAGGCCCUACGGGGCGCAGCAGGCGCGAAACCUUUGCAAUGCGCGAAAGCGUGACAGGGUCAUCCCGAGUGCCGUCCGCUGAGGAUGGCUUUUGCCUGGUCUAACCAGCCAGGUGAAUAAGGGGAGGGCAAGUCUGGUGUCAGCCGCCGCGGUAAUACCAGCUCCUCGAGUGGUUGGGACGAUUAUUGGGUCUAAAGCGUCCGUAGCCGGCUGGAAAAGUUCUCCGUAAAAUCCAACGAUCCAAUCGUUGGAUCGCGGGGAAUACUUUCCGGCUUGGGGGCGGGGGAGGUCGGCGGUAGUCCCGGGGUAGGGGCGAAAAAGGAAACGAAAAGUUUCCAUUCGCAGUCUUAUAAUCCCGGGAGGACCACCAGUGGCGAAGGCGGCCGACUAAAACGCGCCCGACGGUGAGGGACGAAAGCUGGGGGAGCGAACGGGAUUAGAUACCCCGGUAGUCCCAGCUGUAAACGAUGCAGGCUAGGUGUUAGGACGGGUACGGCCCGUCCUAGUGCCGCAGGGAAGCCAUUAAGCCUGCCACCUGGGGAGUACGGCCGCAAGGCUGAAUUCUCAUAUGGCAAGAAAUCGUGCCGUUGAGACAGUUCACUUAAAGGAAUUGGCGGGGGAGCACCACAAGGGGUGAAGCUUGCGGUUUAAUUGGAGUCAACACCGGGAACCUUACCAGGGGCGACAGUUGGAUGAAGGUCAGAUUAAAGGUCUUACCGGACUAGCUGAGAGGAGGUGCAUGGCCGUCGCCAGUUCGUGCCGUGAGGUGUUCUCUUAAGUGAGAAAACGAACGAGACCCGUGCCCUUAGUUGCCAGGGCAUUCCCUCGGGAAUGCAGGCACACUAGGGGGACUGCCUCCGCUAAGGGGGAGGAAGGAGCGGGCCACGGCAGGUCAGUAUGCCCCGGAUCCCCUGGGCCACACGCGAGCUGCAAUGGCUGGGACAAUGGGCUCCGACCCCGAAAGGGGAAGGCAAUCCCUAAACCCAGCCUCAGUUGGGAUCGAGGGCUGCAACCCGCCCUCGUGAACAUGGAAUCCCUAGUAACCGCGUGUCAUCAUCGCGCGGUGAAUACGUCCCUGCUCCUUGCACACACCGCCCGUCGCUCCACCCGAGUCUGGUUUUGGUGAGGUGCAGCCCUGUUGGUUGCCUCGAACCUAAGCUAAGCAAGGGGGGAGAAGUCGUAACAAGGUGGCCGUAGGGGAACCUGCGGCCGGAUCACCUCCUUAG
This 1571-nucleotide ribosomal RNA is filed under the name Candidatus Bathyarchaeota archaeon. RNAcentral's name for it is "bacterial SSU rRNA". It matches the Rfam family "Archaeal small subunit ribosomal RNA". The record is from RNAcentral. Lineage: Archaea; Thermoproteati; Candidatus Bathyarchaeota.